RNAcentral lists this ribosomal RNA (605 nucleotides) under bacterium. RNAcentral's name for it is "partial 16S ribosomal RNA". It matches the Rfam family "Bacterial small subunit ribosomal RNA", at positions 1 to 363 of the family's 1533-position model. The record is from RNAcentral.
UCUAUUGAGAAUUUGAUCCUGGUUCAGGAUGAACGCUGGCGGCGUGGAUAAGGCAUGCAAGUCGAACGGAACAAUUUGCGAUUACAUCAAGAAUUGUUUAGUGGCGAACGAGUUAGUAUUACCUUGGAAUCUACCUUGAAGACGGGAAUAAUCCGCCGAAAGGCGGACUAAUACCCGAUAGUCCCAGCACAUAUUUUUGGAAUUUAAAAAGGCGCUUAUCGCGCCCAGUAUUAAUCAAACGGAUAUGGAAAUUUUUUUGUGAUGAAUCCAUAGAUUAUUAUUCCUAUGGUCGGCAAUACAAAACCGAAACAAAUGGUGAUAAAAAGGUCGACAGAAAGGUCGGUUCCCAUAUUAUUCCUCCGUUUAUGAAAAAAGGUUCUUAUAGGAUAUUACCACCCCUGUUAUAAUAAGUCCAUUUUUUAAAUCCAAAAAUAUGUGCUGGGUAAAGGGCGCAAGCCGCUUCAAGAGGAGCCUCGGUCCUAUCAGCUAGUUGGUGAGGUAAUGGCUCACCAAGGCUAUGACGGGUAGGGGGGGUGAGAGCCUGAUCCCCAACGACGAAACUGAGAUACGGUUCGUACACCUACGGGUGGCUGCAGUCGAGAAUA